AGUACUAAAAAUUUUCGAAUUAUUUUUUAAUUAUUAUUAUUUUUCUCGAACUAAAAAUCAAAUAAAGAAAAUCCAUGGAAUCGUAAUACGAAACAAGCAAUGGGAUAAGAAAAAGCAGAAUCUUUUAACGUAAUUAAUUUCGGUCGAUAAUACAGCGAAACUAGAUAAGAAAUGGCCGGUUUGGAAUCGUACUAUAAAUUUAACACGGCCUACACGAUACACCACUUAAGCGCAAAUACGAAACCGAUAUCUCUGGAGAGGAUGCGCGCACAUACGUUAAAUGGUGGCUAUAGAGUGAGACGUGAGGUCGCGCGUGUCCCCAGGCAGAACUCGUCGAGGAACGUUUCAAUUUCCUUGGCAGACGGUGAUGGACAGGGAGGCGAGUCACCUCUUGCGAUCCCUGGGAUCCUAUUAUCGCGUCUAGAUCUUUCUUUCUCGCGCCUUUAUCCUCCUUUGCUUCGCGUCUUUAUUCGAAAAUGAAGUGGGAAUCGAGAUGCAUUUCGUUCGAGGAAGGGAACAAGUUUCUUUUUCUUUCGCGUUUAUUCGAGAUUACUUUUCUCAUUAUUACUAGUAAAGUGUGGAAGAGAAAUAUAGAGUGGAAAAUGAUGUUAAAUAAUCGUGCAGAUUUAUCGUUACAGUCGAGAUUGUUGUAAAUAGAUCAGUUUAUAGGUUAUGUCUUUUUAGAAUUGGAAAAUAAUGGUGAAAGAGCUAGAACAGGUUAUCGAUUGUCUCGUGAGAAAAAGAGCACAUUAUACUUGUGUCGCGCAAAUGAUAACAAUCGCGCACCAUCAAACGAAACAAAAAAAAAGGAAAAACAAAAGACGUAAAUCCAACGUAAUAUAUCGCUUUUAUUUUAUUCGAGGCACGAGCGAUUCUUAACUUAACGAUUCUCAAAGCGACUCUCCUGGGAACACAAUCUGCAAUCGAAGCGUGCCCCUUCUUCCUUCCCAGCGGUUCGAUGUCCACCUGGCGGCAAUUACUGAAAAUUCCGCCAGUCGUCGAGGACAUAAUUACGACGUAAGUCGUUCCGACGUAUCCUCCAAGAUUUAUCCCGUAUCCCAUUAACGCACUCUUUUUUUCAAGGGGCAAAGGAGGAAUAACUCGAGAAGGGUGGCCCGCCUACUUCACUCUGUUCGACCUGUUGGGACGCUCUCCGAUGAAUUUGAACAAGCAUUACGGUAUUCGGCCGCGGGUUGCGCAUUUUCAUCGCUCGUGCAUUCUGUUUUCUUUUUUUUUUUUCGAAGAAACAACACUUCACUUCAAGAAGAUCUCCUCGAACUAAAGGGAGAGGAGGAAGGAAAAAAGAAGAAGAAAGAGUUGGGUUUCACAAUUGGCAUCGAUAUUAAUUCUCGAACGAAUAACGAUUGCUCUGCACAAUGGAGGAGAUUUGCAUAAAAAAAAAAAAAAAAAAAAA
Apis mellifera (honey bee) is the source of this 1414-nucleotide RNA transcript. RefSeq lists it as uncharacterized. The transcript is spliced from 2 exons. NCBI's taxonomy places the organism in Eukaryota, Metazoa, Arthropoda, Insecta, Hymenoptera, Apidae. The record is from RefSeq and is a predicted model, not a curated record.